UGCGGGGUAGAUCAGUGGUCAGAUCGGAAGUUUCAUAAUCUUCAGGCCGCCGGUUCGAAUCCGGCCCCCGCUAC
Molecule: transfer RNA, 74 nt
Filed under: bioreactor metagenome
Description: tRNA-Met
Rfam family: tRNA
About the family: Transfer RNA (tRNA) molecules are approximately 80 nucleotides in length.
Source: RNAcentral